GGGCCUGUAGCUCAGGGGUAGAGCGCUCGCUUUGCAUUCACUGCGACACAGACUCUUUAGAAUGUGUUUUCUUACCUACUUAUAAGAAUAUGCGAGAGGCCUAGGGUUCAAAUCCCUACCGGUCCA
RNAcentral lists this transfer RNA (126 nucleotides) under Xylaria grammica. Its description in RNAcentral is "tRNA-Ala". It matches the Rfam family "tRNA". Rfam says of the family: Transfer RNA (tRNA) molecules are approximately 80 nucleotides in length. Their secondary structure includes four short double-helical elements and three loops (D, anti-codon, and T loops). Lineage: Eukaryota; Fungi; Ascomycota; Sordariomycetes; Xylariales; Xylariaceae. RNAcentral also lists the same sequence under 1 other name. The record is from RNAcentral.